AGUGAACGCUGGCGGUAGGCCUAACACAUGCAAGUCGAACGGCAGCACAGUAAGAGCUUGCUCUUACGGGUGGCGAGUGGCGGACGGGUGAGGAAUACAUCGGAAUCUACUUUUUCGUGGGGGAUAACGUAGGGAAACUUACGCUAAUACCGCAUACGACCUACGGGUGAAAGCAGGGGAUCUUCGGACCUUGCGCGAUUGAAUGAGCCGAUGUCGGAUUAGCUAGUUGGCGGGGUAAAGGCCCACCAAGGCGACGAUCCGUAGCUGGUCGGAGAGGAUGUUCAGCCACACUGGAACUGAGACACGGUCCAGACUCCUGCGAGAGGCAGCAGUGGGGAAUAUUGGACAAUGGGCGGAAGCCUGAUCCAGCCAUACCGCGUGAGUGAAGAAGGCCUUCGGGUUGUAAAGCCCUUUUGUUGGGAAAGAAAAGCAGCAGGUUAAUACCCCGCUGUUCUGACGGUACCCAAAGAAUAAGCACCGGCUAACUUCGUG
This 492-nucleotide ribosomal RNA is filed under the name uncultured bacterium. RNAcentral's name for it is "partial 16S ribosomal RNA". It matches the Rfam family "Bacterial small subunit ribosomal RNA", at positions 29 to 507 of the family's 1533-position model. The record is from RNAcentral.